GACGAACGCUGGCGGCGUGCCUAAUACAUGCAAGUAGAACGCACAGUUUAUACCGUAGCUUGCUACACCAUAGACUGUGAGUUGCGAACGGGUGAGUAGCGCGUAGGUAACCUGCCUGGUAGCGGGGGAUAACUAUUGGAAACGAUAGCUAAUACCGCAUAAUAUUAAUUAUUGCAUGAUAAUUGAUUGAAAGAUGCAACUGCAUCACUACCAGAUGGACCUGCGUUGUAUUAGCUAGUAGGUGAGGUAACGGCUCACCUAGGCGACGAUACAUAGCCGACCUGAGAGGGUGAUCGGCCACACUGGGACUGAGACACGGCCCAGACUCCUACGGGAGGCAGCAGUAGGGAAUCUUCGGCAAUGGACGAAAGUCUGACCGAGCAACGCCGCGUGAGUGAAGAAGGUUUUCGGAUCGUAAAGCUCUGUUGUAAGAGAAGAACGGGUGUGAGAGUGGAAAGUUCACACUGUGACGGUAUCUUACCAGAAAGGGACGGCUAACUACGUG
This 505-nucleotide ribosomal RNA is filed under the name uncultured bacterium. Its description in RNAcentral is "partial 16S ribosomal RNA". It matches the Rfam family "Bacterial small subunit ribosomal RNA", at positions 28 to 507 of the family's 1533-position model. The record is from RNAcentral.